ACGGCAACAGGAUUGCUGUAUGAAGCGGCCCUGAGGGGCUUGGCCAACAUUUCUGAGGGUGGGUCAGGCCUCCAGCCCACAGCGAUCCUCUGCCCUCCUGCAUAGUUGUGCCUGUCACUCAAGGAAAAACGUCUGGAUGACACGUGACACAGCACCGGGCGAUUCAGCUGACCACUGGUACCAGCCACGGUGGAAUACGUGCAUUUCUGUCUACCGUCCCGCUGGGAAUGCUGAAAACUCUGGGAGGAACAUACAGAACAAUUCCCUGAGCCCUCUAAAAAGCCAGCUCCAGCUGUGGAGCUGCACCACUGUGCUGCUGGUCCUGGUGCUGGAAGCCCUGAAACUUUGAUGAAAGACCCAACUCUCCAACCAGAGGAACUUGAAAUGGAGUGGGGUGAAUCCCUGUUUAUUUCUUCCUCUUUACUGUUGCCACUUGGCUCCAGAGAUGGCUCCAGUCAUGUGGAACUACACAAUAGCACAAAGAAUUAAAAAGCUAAGAAAAACCUGAUUUUCUGGACAGAAAAAAAACUGGAAAAAGAGCUCCAGUUGUUUUAAAAAUGGGGGGAUAAUUUU
Molecule: long non-coding RNA, 573 nt
Filed under: Pongo abelii (Sumatran orangutan)
Lineage: Eukaryota; Metazoa; Chordata; Mammalia; Primates; Hominidae
Description: lincRNA
Source: RNAcentral